UGCGCAGGCGGCUUAUUAAGUCAGUGGUGAAAUCUCUCGGCUCAACCGAGAAACUGCCAUUGAAACUGAUAAGCCUGAGUGUAGUUGUAGUAGGCGGAAUAUAGCAUGUAGCGGUGAAAUGCUUAGAUAUGCUAUAGAACACCGAUCGCGAAGGCAGCUUACUAAACUAUUACUGACGCUCAUGCACGAAAGCGUGGGGAGCAAACAGGAUUAGAUACCCUGGUAGUC
RNAcentral lists this ribosomal RNA (228 nucleotides) under uncultured bacterium. RNAcentral describes it as "partial 16S ribosomal RNA". It matches the Rfam family "Bacterial small subunit ribosomal RNA", at positions 568 to 795 of the family's 1533-position model. The record is from RNAcentral.